This 404-nucleotide ribosomal RNA is filed under the name Fauriella tenerrima. RNAcentral's name for it is "eukaryotic LSU rRNA". The stretch from base 330 to 404 matches the Rfam family "Eukaryotic large subunit ribosomal RNA", at positions 1 to 75 of the family's 3401-position model. Lineage: Eukaryota; Viridiplantae; Streptophyta; Bryopsida; Hypnales; Thuidiaceae. The record is from RNAcentral.
GCGCCCGAGGCUUGUCCGAGGGCAGUUCCGCUAGAGGGUCAUCGCGGCCCCCCACCGAUGCGCUCCGCGCCGCUCCCGCCGCGCCGCGAGCUCGGCUCGAGUGAAAGAGGCGGUCCCGGCGGGCCUCCUCCUCCUCGCGAGGGCGAGGGCGCCCCAAGGGUGGGCUGAAAUGGAUGCAACGGGGCCGCCGCGGCGGCGCAGCCCGCGAUCGGGUGACGUCCCGGACAGCCGUCCGGGACUCUUUCUAAGUGCGCGGCUGCGUCCCCCAGUCGGUUCCCUGGCUCGUGCAGGUCGAGCGCGCGCCCCCCGCGGCGCGCGCGUCACGCAUCAGACCUCUAAUCGGAAAAGACCACCCGCUGAGUUUAAGCAUAUCACUAAGCGGAGGAGAAGAAACUAACCAGGAU